Molecule: transfer RNA, 77 nt
Filed under: Gallionellales bacterium RIFOXYD2_FULL_52_7
Lineage: Bacteria; Pseudomonadati; Pseudomonadota; Betaproteobacteria; Nitrosomonadales
Also listed under: 1 other name
Description: tRNA-Arg
Rfam family: tRNA
About the family: Transfer RNA (tRNA) molecules are approximately 80 nucleotides in length. Their secondary structure includes four short double-helical elements and three loops (D, anti-codon, and T loops).
Source: RNAcentral
GCGCCCGUAGCUCAUCUGGAUAGAGUGACAGUUUCCGAAGCUGUAGGUAGUGGGUUCGACUCCCGCCGGGCGCACCA